RNAcentral lists this ribosomal RNA (352 nucleotides) under Clostridium perfringens. Its description in RNAcentral is "bacterial SSU rRNA". It matches the Rfam family "Bacterial small subunit ribosomal RNA", at positions 1181 to 1533 of the family's 1533-position model. Lineage: Bacteria; Bacillati; Bacillota; Clostridia; Eubacteriales; Clostridiaceae. The record is from RNAcentral. RNAcentral also lists the same sequence under 1 other name.
GACGUCAAAUCAUCAUGCCCCUUAUGUGUAGGGCUACACACGUGCUACAAUGGCUGGUACAGAGAGAUGCAAUACCGCGAGGUGGAGCCAAACUUAAAAACCAGUCUCAGUUCGGAUUGUAGGCUGAAACUCGCCUACAUGAAGCUGGAGUUACUAGUAAUCGCGAAUCAGAAUGUCGCGGUGAAUACGUUCCCGGGUCUUGUACACACCGCCCGUCACACCAUGAGAGUUGGCAAUACCCGAAGUCCGUGAGCUAACCGCAAGGAGGCAGCGGCCGAAGGUAGGGUCAGCGAUUGGGGUGAAGUCGUAACAAGGUAGCCGUAGGAGAACCUGCGGCUGGAUCACCUCCUUU